GCUCCCAUGCAUGUCCAAAAUGCUCGUGAAAUUCCAGAAUAUGAGAUUGAUCCUAGAGAGCUUGAUUUUUCUAAUAGUGUUGAUAUAACCAAGGUAACUUACUGUUCUCCCUUGAUAUUAUAUUAAUGUUUCUUUAUUGGUUUAUGAAUUUGUUGUUUAGAGGUGAGCAAAGUAUUUUUGUUUACAUUUUUCAUUACCUUUUUGAUACACUGAUAAGUGAAUGAUUUUUGGUUUUAGAUGGUAUUUUUUGUCUGAAGAAAAAAUAGGUAAAUCCCAAAUCAUGUCACCUUAAAGUGAUCUAUGCAUUAUUUGAAAUUAUCUGUUUGAAAGUUUCCAGGGUUAAUGAUAAAUAAAGUAAAUGUCAUUGUUAAGAUUUCAAAUUGGUUUGGAAUAAAGGUAAUGUGCUCCUUAUAUGACUUUGAGCACCCCUCUCCCCUUGAGCUAGUUUUUGGAAGUGAGUUAGGCUCCACCCAUCUUUUGAAGUUGGUAACAGAACUAGCCCUAUCUUGCGAGACUCAACACUUGGAGUGGUAGCUCAUAAAGUGGUGGCCUAAAUCCAUUGUGUAAGAACAGGUGGUCUGAUGUGUAGGGUACUAGCCGUGACCAACGUGACUGUGAUUAACAUAGUCGUGACCAACGAGGAUGUUGGUUCUCCAAGCGUAGGGUAUUGUUACGAUCUCAUAUAGCUAAGGAACAACCUUAGUGAGAGGUUAACAAGUUCCUAGGCACCCUUCCCUGGCAAGCCAGUUUUCAAGGGUGAGUUCUACCUAGGUGGUUUAUCCUCACAUAAUUCAAUAUCAGCAACUCCUAGUACUCAAUAGUUCAUGUCAAUUGAUACCCUGCUUCAACAUUGGUAUAUGAUAUUGCAAGCUUAAUAUAUGAUAUUUUUACUGAUAGGAAUUUAAUUCUGCCAUUGUUUUUUUUUUUUUUUUAAGACAGAGUCUCUUUAAUAU
RNAcentral lists this unclassified non-coding RNA (953 nucleotides) under Hevea brasiliensis (rubber tree). Lineage: Eukaryota; Viridiplantae; Streptophyta; Magnoliopsida; Malpighiales; Euphorbiaceae. The record is from RNAcentral.